CCCUUAGAUGUUCUGGGCCGCACGCGUGCUACACUGAGUGGAUCAGCGGGUCAGGUUGCGCGAAAGCGUUUCCUAAUCUUUAAAUCCGCUCGUGAUGGGGAUCGACGGUUGCAAUUUUCUGUCAUGAACGAGGAAUACCUUGUAAGCGCGGGUCAUCAUCCCGCGCUGAAUACGUCCCUGCCCUUUGUACACACCGCCCGUCGCUCCUACCGAUUGAGUGGUCCGGUGAGGCUUUGGGAUCUGAGCGGAAAGAGCGUUUCGCUGUUUCUACUCGGAAAACUCAGUCGAACCUUAUCAUUUAGAGGAAGGAGAAGUCGUAACA
Molecule: ribosomal RNA, 322 nt
Filed under: uncultured eukaryote
Lineage: Eukaryota
Description: partial 18S ribosomal RNA
Rfam family: Eukaryotic small subunit ribosomal RNA
Source: RNAcentral